Molecule: ribosomal RNA, 254 nt
Filed under: uncultured bacterium
Lineage: Bacteria
Description: partial 16S ribosomal RNA
Rfam family: Bacterial small subunit ribosomal RNA
Source: RNAcentral
UACGUAGGGAGCAAGCGUUGUCCGGAUUUAUUGGGCGUAAAGAGCUCGUAGGCGGCUUAGAAAGUCAGGUGUGAAAACUCUGGGCUCAACCCAGAGACGCCACUUGAUACUUCUAUGGCUUGAGUUCGGUAGGGGACCAUGGAAUUCCUGGUGUAGCGGUGAAAUGCGCAGAUAUCAGGAAGAACACCAAUGGCGAAGGCAGCUCUCUGGGACGGUACUGACGCUGAGACGCGAAAGCGUGGGUAGCAAACAGG